This 497-nucleotide ribosomal RNA is filed under the name uncultured bacterium. RNAcentral describes it as "partial 16S ribosomal RNA". It matches the Rfam family "Bacterial small subunit ribosomal RNA", at positions 28 to 507 of the family's 1533-position model. The record is from RNAcentral.
GAUGAACGCUGGCGGCGUGCCUAAUACAUGCAAGUCGAGCGAACGGACGAGAAGCUUGCUCUUCUGAUGUUAGCGGCGGACGGGUGAGUAACACGUGGAUAACCUACCUAUAAGACUGGGAUAACUUCGGGAAACCGGAGCUAAUACCGGAUAAUAUAUUGAACCGCAUGGUUCAAAAGUGAAAGACGGUUUUGCUGUCACUUAUAGAUGGAUCCGCGCUGCAUUAGCUAGUUGGUAAGGUAACGGCUUACCAAGGCAACGAUGCAUAGCCGACCUGAGAGGGUGAUCGGCCACACUGGAACUGAGACACGGUCCAGACUCCUACGGGAGGCAGCAGUAGGGAAUCUUCCGCAAUGGGCGAAAGCCUGACGGAGCAACGCCGCGUGAGUGAUGAAGGUCUUCGGAUCGUAAAACUCUGUUAUUAGGGAAGAACAUAUGUGUAAGUAACUGUGCACAUCUUGACGGUACCUAAUCAGAAAGCCACGGCUAACUACGUG